RNAcentral lists this ribosomal RNA (742 nucleotides) under uncultured soil bacterium. Its description in RNAcentral is "bacterial SSU rRNA". It matches the Rfam family "Bacterial small subunit ribosomal RNA", at positions 34 to 771 of the family's 1533-position model. The record is from RNAcentral.
CGCUAGCGGCAGGCUUAAUACAUGCAAGUCGUGGGGCAGCGCAGGUAGCAAUACUGGGCGGCGACCGGCAAACGGGUGCGGAACACGUACGCAACCUUCCUUUAAGCGGGGAAUAGCCCAGGGAAACUUGGAUUAAUACCCCAUAAUACUUUUGAGUGGCAUCACUUGAUAGUUAAAGCUCCGGCACUUAAAGAUGGGCGUGCGGCUGAUUAGGUAGUUGGCGGAGUAACAGCCCACCAAGCCAACGAUCAGUAACUGGUGUGAGAGCACGACCAGUCACACGGGCACUGAGACACGGGCCCGACUCCUACGGGAGGCAGCAGUAAGGAAUAUUGGUCAAUGGACGCAAGUCUGAACCAGCCAUGCCGCGUGGAGGAUGAAGGCCCUCUGGGUUGUAAACUUCUUUUAUUUGGGAAGAAACCCACUUUUUCUAGGGUGGUUGACGGUACCAGAUGAAUAAGCACCGGCUAACUCCGUGCCAGCAGCCGCGGUAAUACGGAGGGUGCAAGCGUUAUCCGGAUUCACUGGGUUUAAAGGGUGCGUAGGUGGGCAGGUAAGUCAGUGGUGAAAUCUCUGGGCUUAACCCAGAAACUGCCGUUGAUACUAUCUGUCUUGAAUGUAGUGGAGGUGAGCGGAAUAUGUCAUGUAGCGGUGAAAUGCUUAGAUAUGACAUAGAACACCAAUUGCGAAGGCAGCUCGCUACACUAUUAUUGACACUGAGGCACGAAAGCGUGGGGAUCAA